UAGGCUUAGUACCUGGGUAAUGAAAUAGUC
This 30-nucleotide non-coding RNA is filed under the name Homo sapiens (human). The record is from RNAcentral. Lineage: Eukaryota; Metazoa; Chordata; Mammalia; Primates; Hominidae.